Molecule: ribosomal RNA, 460 nt
Filed under: uncultured bacterium
Lineage: Bacteria
Description: partial 16S ribosomal RNA
Rfam family: Bacterial small subunit ribosomal RNA
Source: RNAcentral
CCUACGGGAGGCAGCAGUGAGGAAUAUUGGUCAAUGGACGCAAGUCUGAACCAGCCAUGCCGCGUGCAGGAAGACGGCUCUAUGAGUUGUAAACUGCUUUUGUACGAAGGUAAACGCAGAUACGCGUAUCUUUCUGAAAGUAUCGUACGAAUAAGGAUCGGCUAACUCCGUGCCAGCAGCCGCGGUAAUACGGAGGAUUCAAGCGUUAUCCGGAUUUAUUGGGUUUAACGGGUGCGUAGGCGGGCGGAUAAGUUAGAGGUGAAAUCCCGAGGCUCAACUUCGGAAUUGCCUCUGAUACUGUUCGGCUAGAGAGUAGUUGCGGUAGGCGGAAUGUAGGGUGUAGCGGUGAAAUGCUUAGAGAUCAUACAGAACACCGAUGGCGAAGGCAGCUUACCAAGCUACUUCUGACGUUGAGGCACGAAAGCGUGGGGAGCAAACAGGAUUAGAUACCCGAGUAGUC